CGGAUAGAGCUGACGUAUCUAGCUUGUAUUCAGCCGCCUUUUGGCGUAGGCUGGUCCAGGCAUUCCGGCUUUUGGAUGUCUGAGCUAUGCUUUGCGUUACUUGGUGGUGCUUUUACAAGUGAAGUGCGCCGAGAGGUAUUCUACAGCGGUUGGAUCUCUGCUCUGAGGACCCUUUUCGGAGGGAAACCCGGGCAUUGGGAAAACUGUUUGUGGGGUAUUGCUUGUCGAGUAUGGUCCUACGAGUCGGUUGCUCGUUGAGCCAGCUGCGGGAUGCGGUCGCAUGCGAACGCUUCUGUGGUAGGUUUAGCGGGUAGCAUGUACUCCCAUGCUUAUUCUCGGUGUAAAAGUCGGUCAUCUAUCCGACCCGUCUUGAAACACGGACCAAGGAGUUUACCAAAUAUGCGAGUCAUUGAGUGUUAAAAACUCAAAGGCGAAAUGAAAGUAAAGGCACCUUUAUGGGCUGAUAUGCGAUCCCUGGUACUUCGGUGCCGAGGCGCAGCAUAGCCCCAUCCUGAUUGCUUGCAAUGGGGUGGAGGCAGAGCAUAUUUGUUGAGACCCGAAAGAUGGUGAACUAUGCCUGAGCAGGACGAAGCCAGAGGAAACUCUGGUGGAAGUCCGAAGCGGUUCUGACGUGCAAAUCGAUCGUCUGACUUGGGUAUAGGGGCGAAAGACUAAUCGAACCAUCUAGUAGCU
Molecule: ribosomal RNA, 693 nt
Filed under: Ditylenchus acuminatus
Lineage: Eukaryota; Metazoa; Nematoda; Chromadorea; Rhabditida; Anguinidae
Description: partial large subunit ribosomal RNA
Rfam family: Eukaryotic large subunit ribosomal RNA
Source: RNAcentral